GACGAACGCUGGCGGCGUGCUUAACACAUGCAAGUCGAACGGAAAGCGCUGGAUGCUGGCUUCUAUCCUUCUUAGUGGAGCGCGUGUGAGUAACGCGUAAUAACCCUGCUCUACAGCGGGGGACACUAGUUGAAAAGGACUGAUAAUACCAUAUACGCUCUAAUCACGGCAUCGAGGUGAGAUGAAAGGUGGUCUCUUCCUGUAAGCUCUCACUGCCGGUGGGGUUUGCGUCGGAUUAGUUAGGUGUCGGGGUAACGACGCAUCACGGCGAUGAUCAGUAGCGUGUCUGAGAGGAGGAACGGGCACAUUAGGACGGGAACGCGACCCAGACUCCUACGGGAGGCAGCAGUGGGGAAUCUUCCGCAAUGGACGAAAGUCUGGCGGGACAACGCGGCGUGGGUGAUGACGGGCCUCGGGUUGUAAAGCACUGUCAUUCGGGUCGAAAGGACGUCCUGCGAACAGUGAGAAUGAUUGACGGUACCGGGAUAGAAAGCCACGGCUAACUACGUG
Molecule: ribosomal RNA, 510 nt
Filed under: uncultured bacterium
Lineage: Bacteria
Description: partial 16S ribosomal RNA
Rfam family: Bacterial small subunit ribosomal RNA
Source: RNAcentral